RNAcentral lists this unclassified non-coding RNA (253 nucleotides) under uncultured Gammaproteobacteria bacterium. Its description in RNAcentral is "contains 16S-23S intergenic spacer region". It matches the Rfam family "Bacterial small subunit ribosomal RNA", at positions 524 to 776 of the family's 1533-position model. The record is from RNAcentral. Lineage: Bacteria; Pseudomonadati; Pseudomonadota; Gammaproteobacteria.
UACGUAGGGUGCGAGCGGUAAUCGGAAUUACCGGGCGUAAAGCGCGCGUAGGCGGGUUGGUAAGUCGGUUGUGAAAGCCCUGGGCGUAACCUGGGAACUGCAGUCGAUACUGCCUGACUAGAGUAUGGUAGAGGGAAGUGGAAUUUCCGGUGUAGCGGUGAAAUGCGUAGAUAUCGGAAGGAACACCAGUGGCGAAGGCGACUUCCUGGGCCAAUACUGACGCUGAGGUGCGAAAGCGUGGGGAGCAAACAGG